GAUAAACGCUGGCGGCGUGCAUAACACAUGCAAGUCGAACGAUGAAACUUAGAUGAUUUCUUCGGAAUGAACUUAAGCGGAUUAGUGGCGAACGGGUGAGUAACACGUGAGUAACCUGCCUUACACAAGGGGAUAGCCUUUGGAAACGAAGAAUAAUACCCUAUAACGUCAAUUUAUCGCAUGAUAGAAUGACCAAAGAUUUAUCGGUGUAAGAUGGACUUGCGUCUGAUUAGCUAGUUGGUGAGAUAAAGGCCCACCAAGGCAACGAUCAGUAGCCGGCUUGAGAGAGUGUACGGCCACAUUGGGGACUGAGACACGGCCCAAACUCCUACGGGAGGCAGCAGUGGGGAAUUUUGCACAAUGGGGGAAACCCUGAUGCAGCGACGCCGCGUGAUUUAGAAGGCCUUCGGGUUGUAAAAAUC
RNAcentral lists this ribosomal RNA (422 nucleotides) under uncultured bacterium. RNAcentral's name for it is "bacterial SSU rRNA". It matches the Rfam family "Bacterial small subunit ribosomal RNA", at positions 28 to 433 of the family's 1533-position model. The record is from RNAcentral.